Long non-coding RNA from Siniperca chuatsi (mandarin fish), 823 nucleotides. RefSeq lists it as uncharacterized. The record is from RefSeq and is a predicted model, not a curated record. The transcript has 2 exons. NCBI's taxonomy places the organism in Eukaryota, Metazoa, Chordata, Actinopteri, Centrarchiformes, Sinipercidae.
GACCUGGAUCUUCUUAUACCUGGGACACCAGCAGGGGGCGGGGUCAGGAUGGCGAUGUCCGCGGAGGCCUGACCAAUCAGCUGGCAGCAGGAGGGGUUUACAACUUCACGAUCUCCUCCCGGCUGCCGUCCACAAACCUUUCAAAUGCGCAUUGUUGAUUUUCACAAAACAUGCAGCAGUUUCGCGUUAAGUGCUGUGCGGCUGCAGUACACAGGUGCUGCAGCUGGAUGGCGCUGCAGAGCAGAUCCUGCAGCCAACAGUCUACCUCAGGACCACCGGCCCCCUUUUCUCCGCCCUGAGCUGAGUCUUGCAGGCUGUGAACUAACUACCCAUCAACCUCUGCCAGUCAAACGGCGACAGAUGGUUAGAAGCUGUACUCCGAGGAUGCUUUAAGUGUUUGAGGAAAUAUUCAAACCCUCUGCUCACAGGAUUAUCACUAUCACUCCAAAAAUGAUUGACAGGUCUUUUAAUACAGGACCUAAUUUUUUUUUGCUGCUAUUAACGGUUUGUGUAUAGAAGUUGAAUGUUUCCAAACACGAGUUAAACACACUUAAAAAGUGUAAACUUAAUGCUGUAUAUGUAAAUUUACCUGUAAUUUAUAUGGUCAAAAAAUGCAGAAUGAUCCUUUAAAUUCACUGAUUUUGACCGAUAUAUUAUUAUUUUUCAGUAAUUUUCAGAGUGCAAAACAUUGCCGCAAAACAAUUCUUCUAACUUUAACUUUAUUACAUAGUGCACAACAAACCCAGACUUGUGUUUUUAAUAGUCACAAAAAAACAAAAAAAAAAACAAACAAACCUCAGCAACAUAACAAACAAACUACAAA